UAGGCCAACACAAUAGGUUGCUAAGCCGCGAGGUGGCGCCAAUCCAUAAAGUUGGUCUCAGUUCAGAUUGUAGGCUGCAACCCGCCUGCAUGAAGAUGGAGUUGCUAGUAACCGCAGGUCAGCUAUACUGCGGUGAAUACGUUCCCGGGGCUU
This 153-nucleotide ribosomal RNA is filed under the name uncultured Leptolinea sp. RNAcentral describes it as "partial 16S ribosomal RNA". It matches the Rfam family "Bacterial small subunit ribosomal RNA", at positions 1229 to 1382 of the family's 1533-position model. The record is from RNAcentral. Lineage: Bacteria; Bacillati; Chloroflexota; Anaerolineae; Anaerolineales; Anaerolineaceae.